UAGAGAUGAUACCAUUUAAAAAGAACUAAUGACCAGGGAAGUGUACUGUGAUGGUUUCACUCUAGGCCUUCCUGGAGACCAGUUUGUAAACAGGAAGGAACUAGGAAAGUGAUCACGGAAGUAUUCCAUGCUAUUCCUUUACGUAACCUGAGGUAUAAAUAAAACCAGCAGGAGGGACCUCACUCUCUUCCUUUCCGGCGAGGUUGGAGAACGGUGGGUCCCAGUCUCGGUCUGGCUUAUCUGGAGCUGAGGCCUACAGUGACUGCUGUUAUCUGCCACGCGCGGGGGGAGAGUGCUGGGCUGUGUUGAGCCAUCCUGCUUGUUCAAAGGGAAGUGCUGCAGGCCUAAUUACAUGUGGCUAUAGGAAUAUGAGAUGGAUGUCACCUGUAGCAGUAAGGAAAAGGUGAAGACAGAAUGACUGGAGUUUUACAGAGAAAGAUUCAGGACACAUUGCACAAAUGGUGGACACUUUCAGGAAGAAAAGACUGCUGUGGGAAACUAAACACAGCAAGACCUCUUCUGACUAAGGAAGUUCAUGAACUGCAAAUUAUUGUCAGGAUUUUCCGGGAACCACAAACUUUCUCUGUUCCUCUGUGCCUAUAUAGCAAAUAUAUAGGGAAAUAAGCAUCAGAAGUUCAUCAUUACUGGAUA
This is a long non-coding RNA of Lepidothrix coronata (blue-crowned manakin), 651 nucleotides long. RefSeq lists it as uncharacterized. Lineage: Eukaryota; Metazoa; Chordata; Aves; Passeriformes; Pipridae. The record is from RefSeq and is a predicted model, not a curated record. The transcript is spliced from 3 exons.